GAUGAACGCUGGCGGCGUGCCUAAUACAUGCAAGUCGAGCGAACAGAUGAGGAGCUUGCUCCUCUGACGUUAGCGGCGGACGGGUGAGUAACACGUGGAUAACCUACCUAUAAGACUGGGAUGACUUCGGGAAACCGGAGCUAAUACCGGAUAAUAUAUUGAACCGCAUGGUUCAAUAGUGAAAGACGGUUUUGCUGUCACUUAUAGAUGGAUCCGCGCCGCAUUAGCUAGUUGGUAAGGUAACGGCUUACCAAGGCAACGAUGCGUAGCCGACCUGAGAGGGUGAUCGGCCACACUGGAACUGAGACACGGUCCAGACUCCUACGGGAGGCAGCAGUAGGGAAUCUUCCGCAAUGGGCGAAAGCCUGACGGAGCAACGCCGCGUGAGUGAUGAAGGUCUUCGGAUCGUAAAACUCUGUUAUUAGGGAAGAACAAAUGUGUAAGUAACUAUGCACGUCUUGACGGUACCUAAUCAGAAAGCCACGGCUAACUACGUGCCAGCCGCCGCCGUAA
Molecule: ribosomal RNA, 513 nt
Filed under: uncultured bacterium
Lineage: Bacteria
Description: partial 16S ribosomal RNA
Rfam family: Bacterial small subunit ribosomal RNA
Source: RNAcentral